UGGAAAUCACUGAGUCUUUGGAACAAAACAAACUUCAAAUUCAUGAUCUUUCGGGAAGUUAUUAACACCUCCAAGGCUCGGUUUCUUCACCUGCAAGACAGGAUUAACAAUGGAAAAUCAUAUGGCUCAAGUGGAAUCAAGCAGGAAGUGAUGUGAUUUGAUUUUUGCUACCCCUUCCAUUAUCAAAGAAAUUCUUGGUAAAUGAAAACAGCUCAAAUAAAACAACAAAUGGUAACAACGAGAAGAAACCAACAAUGCUGAACAAUGAACGAACUGAAUAAUCAAAACACUGAAGGACAAAAACACGUUUAUCUCUAAAUGUAGGUUUUGAAUGAAAAUCCAGUAAGUUUUUCAAACUAGGGGAGAACGGUAGGAAAGCACUUUCUGUACCAAUAUCAAAUUAGUCAAUUCAAGACAAUUUUAUUACAGUAAUAACCCUACUUCUCUUCUCCCCUCCCCUACCAAAAAAAAAAAAAAUUAAGAUGAGAUCCAUUUAUGUACGAACUAUUACAAACCAAAAUCACUUAAAUCCAGACGUAACCUUGUUAUUCUAACAGUAUGUUUUAAUACAUCAGUAUAUUGAUCAUAGUAAGAAACGGAUUCUUGUAGGAUCUUCCAUAAUAAAUGGGGGAGAGGGGAAGCUUGGGGAAAGAAUACAAUUGGAGGUCCACACCACAUGUGUAAAUAUUUAAAAGUUUUAAGAUAUGUUCUGCCUUCCUAUUUUGACAAAGAUACCUUCAUAAAGAUCUUGACGUCCA
This is a long non-coding RNA of Neofelis nebulosa (Clouded leopard), 758 nucleotides long. RefSeq lists it as uncharacterized. The transcript has 2 exons. The record is from RefSeq and is a predicted model, not a curated record. Lineage: Eukaryota; Metazoa; Chordata; Mammalia; Carnivora; Felidae.